UACAGAGGGUGCGAGCGUUAAUCGGAAUUACUGGGCGUAAAGCGUGCGUAGACGGUUAUUUAAGUCGGGUGUGAAAGCCCCGGGCUCAACCUGGGAAUUGCAUUCGAGACUGAAUAGCUAGGGUACGGUAGAGGGAAGCGGAAUUUCCGGUGUAGCGGUGAAAUGCGUAGAUAUCGGAAGGAACAUCAGUGGCGAAAGCGGCUUCCAUGGACC
This 213-nucleotide ribosomal RNA is filed under the name uncultured bacterium. RNAcentral describes it as "partial 16S ribosomal RNA". It matches the Rfam family "Bacterial small subunit ribosomal RNA", at positions 524 to 735 of the family's 1533-position model. The record is from RNAcentral.